AAUGGGUUCGCCCCGAGAUAGGGAUGUGGCUCCGUAGAGCAGUGCGGUCUUGCGCUGUCCGGUGCGCUCGCGUCGGCCUUGAAAAUCCGAGUGAGGGAGUGUGAUUUUCGUGCCGGACCGUACCCACAUCCGCAGCAGGUCUCAAGGUGAACAGCCUCUAGUCGAUGGACCAAUGUAGGUAAGGGAAGUCGGCAAAACGGAUCCGUAACCUUGGGAUAAGGAUUGGCUCUGAGGACUGAGCCGGUCGGGCUGGGGACCUGAAGCAGGAACGGCACUGCACCGGGACUGGGCGGGGCUCGCCGUUCACGCGGCGCGGCCAAGCCCGGACCAGCGUCGGGACCUUCCUGUGGAAAGCCUCAGCUGCGCGGCGUCUGAGGGCUUCGUGCCCAAAGUGCUAUGCUUCGGCCGGCAAAAAACAGUCAACUCAGAACUGGCACGGACCGGGGGAAUCCGACUGUCUAAUUAAAACAAAGCAUUGCGAUGGCCGCUGGUCGGUGUUGACGCACUGUGAUUUCUGCCCAGUGCUCUGAAUGUCAACGUGAAGAGAUUCAUCAAAGCGCGGGUAAACGGCGGGAGUAACUAUGACUCUCUGCGCAGCUACUGGAGAGACCAGCUGCUGCAGAUGGUGGACACGAGAGGGUUGAGGGAGGCACGGACAUGUGCUGCUGCGGCCUUCAUCCGGAACCCACCGCACUUUCUGAAUGGACGGGAGUAUGU
RNAcentral lists this non-coding RNA (717 nucleotides) under Ixodes scapularis (black-legged tick). RNAcentral describes it as "Eukaryotic large subunit ribosomal RNA". It matches the Rfam family "Eukaryotic large subunit ribosomal RNA", at positions 1724 to 2318 of the family's 3401-position model. The record is from Rfam by way of RNAcentral. Lineage: Eukaryota; Metazoa; Arthropoda; Arachnida; Ixodida; Ixodidae.